CAUAUUUCAAAAAUGGCAUCAC
Molecule: microRNA, 22 nt
Filed under: Parasteatoda tepidariorum (common house spider)
Lineage: Eukaryota; Metazoa; Arthropoda; Arachnida; Araneae; Theridiidae
Description: pte-miR-11962b-5p
Source: miRBase by way of RNAcentral